AUGGAUGUUCUUAUUCAUUGGGAUUUCAAUCCCGGCCUCUCGGUUGUGGAUCAGGUUUGUAGGCAUUUUUGUUCUACGGUUCAUUUCUCUCCCACCUCAAACUCCAAGGAAUUUUUCUUGGUGGUCACAUUCUCUCCGGCUUCUUUCCCUCUCUCCGUUUCUUCUGUUGGAUUGGCUCUCCAAUAUUGUAUUGGU
RNAcentral lists this ribosomal RNA (195 nucleotides) under Triticum aestivum (bread wheat). RNAcentral describes it as "partial small subunit ribosomal RNA". Lineage: Eukaryota; Viridiplantae; Streptophyta; Magnoliopsida; Poales; Poaceae. The record is from RNAcentral.